CAUUGCGGCAUGGCAACUCACGGAGGAGCGCGUCGCCAAUCCGGGAAGAUGCUGCCCGACUGUCGCCGCCUGCUUGCUCGGCUUCUCGCCCUCCUCGCGCUGCUGCUGCUGAUCGUCGGUGUACAUGGCCGUAUAGGAUUGAACUGCGGCAGUCAGAACCCAAACGGCUGCACAGGUCUGCCCUCUCCAGACUGUCCAGACUGUGGAUAGCAGCAGGUCUCCCUCCGAAGCAUAUGCCGACGCCGAUGACAUCUCAGGAUGUUCUGUAUCGUUCUACAAGAGUUGAUUUUGUUUCUGUAUGGUAGUAAGAGAGAUAUGAAGGUCACAAUCAUUUGCUUGCUUACGGAAUGUUAGGGAAACAAGGAUAGCUGAAUAUAAGACACAAUUCAUC
Molecule: long non-coding RNA, 391 nt
Organism: Triticum urartu
Lineage: Eukaryota; Viridiplantae; Streptophyta; Magnoliopsida; Poales; Poaceae
Source: RefSeq, a predicted model, not a curated record